GUCACAAUGGUGGACUGUCCAGGUAGUGGCUCAGGAGGGAGGUCCACGUCACAAUGGUGGACUGUCCAGGUGCUGGCUCGGGAGGGAGGUCCACGUCACAAUGGUGGACUGUCCAGGUAGUGGCUCAGGAGGGAGGUCCACGUCACAAUGGUGGACUGUCCAGGUGCUGGCUCAGGAGGGAGGUCCACGUCACAAUGGUGGACUGUCCGGGUACUGGCUCGGGAGGGAGGUCCACGUCACAAUGGUGGACUGUCCAGGUAGUGGCUCAGGAGGGAGGUCCACGUCACAAUGGUGGACUGUCCAGGUGCUGGCUCGGGAGGGAGGUCCACGUCACAAUGGUGGACUGUCCGGGUAGUGGCUCGGGAGGGAGGUCCACGUCACAAUGGUGGACUGUCCAGGUGCUGGCUCGGGAGGGAGGUCCACGUCACAAUGGUGGACUGUCC
RNAcentral lists this long non-coding RNA (443 nucleotides) under Homo sapiens (human). RNAcentral describes it as "HSALNT0344508". Lineage: Eukaryota; Metazoa; Chordata; Mammalia; Primates; Hominidae. The record is from RNAcentral.